This 148-nucleotide non-coding RNA is filed under the name Pan paniscus (pygmy chimpanzee). Lineage: Eukaryota; Metazoa; Chordata; Mammalia; Primates; Hominidae. The record is from Rfam by way of RNAcentral. RNAcentral also lists the same sequence under 1 other name.
GCCGGGCAUGGUGGUGCAGGCCUGUAGUCCCACCCACUUGGGAGGCUGAGGCAGGAGGAUUGUUUGAACCCAGGAGUUUGAGGCUGCAGUGAGCUAUGAUUGCACCACUGCACUCCAGACUGGGUGACAGAGCAAGAACCUGUCUCAA